ACAAAGCGUUGGACCCUUUCAUAAUGGUCUACACACCCUGAUUUAUGAAUAUGUCUUAAUAUUGGAGACGCCUACGAUCCAAACACCGGAAUUUUUACAGCACCUGUGAGGGGUGCGUAUGCUUUCAGGGUCUUCUCCAAGGCCUUUGGAAGUCCAGAGAGCACCGUUACUGCAGGCCUGUUUAAAAACGACCAGCACAUCAUUUCUACACAUGGACAGCAAGCAAGCGGUUUUAUCAGCUCCUCAAAUGGAGUGUCUCUGCUGCUAGAAGAAGGGGAUCAAAUGAAGGUGAAGCUCUAUCCUGGAUGGAUUUUCGACGAUGGAGAACAUCAUCACAGCACAUUCAGUGGACAUCUGCUUUUCCCCAUAUGAGCUUGCAGACCACUAAAAAAAUCAAAAGCA
Molecule: long non-coding RNA, 402 nt
Organism: Sinocyclocheilus rhinocerous
Lineage: Eukaryota; Metazoa; Chordata; Actinopteri; Cypriniformes; Cyprinidae
Exons: 2
Source: RefSeq, a predicted model, not a curated record